Molecule: unclassified non-coding RNA, 377 nt
Filed under: uncultured Bryobacterales bacterium
Lineage: Bacteria; Pseudomonadati; Acidobacteriota; Terriglobia; Bryobacterales
Description: contains 16S-23S intergenic spacer region
Source: RNAcentral
UCCAGCUUAUCGCUGGCGGUCUCCUGCGAGUUCCCAACUGAAUGAUGGCAACACAGGACAAGGGUUGCGCUCGUUGCGGGACUUAACCCAACAUCUCACGACACGAGCUGACGACAGCCAUGCAGCACCUCGACUCCCGUCCCUUGCGGGAAAUCCCUGUUUCCAAGGACGUUCGUGAGCCGUUCGAGCCCAGGUAAGGUUCUUCGCGUUGCGUCGAAUUGAACCACAUGCUCCACCGCUUGUGCGGGCCCCCGUCAAUUCCUUUGAGUUUCAGCCUUGCGACUGUACUCCCCAGGCGGCAUAUUUAACGCGUUAGCUCCGGCACAGACAGAAUGAACUGCCUACACCAAAUAUGCAUCGUUUAGGGCGUGGACUAC